CCCUACGGGAGGCAGCAGUAGGGAAUCUUCCACAAUGGACGAAAGUCUGAUGGAGCAACGCCGCGUGAGUGAAGAAGGGUUUCGGCUCGUAAAGCUCUGUUGGUAGUGAAGAAAGAUAGAGGUAGUAACUGGCCUUUAUUUGACGGUAAUUACUUAGAAAGUCACGGCUAACUACGUGCCAGCAGCCGCGGUAAUACGUAGGUGGCAAGCGUUGUCCGGAUUUAUUGGGCGUAAAGCGAGUGCAGGCGGUUCCAUAAAUCUGAUGUGAAAGCCUUCGGGUCCACCGGAGGAUUUCAUCAGAAAAU
Molecule: ribosomal RNA, 305 nt
Filed under: uncultured bacterium
Lineage: Bacteria
Description: bacterial SSU rRNA
Rfam family: Bacterial small subunit ribosomal RNA
Source: RNAcentral